Molecule: ribosomal RNA, 157 nt
Filed under: Dermatocarpon arenosaxi
Lineage: Eukaryota; Fungi; Ascomycota; Eurotiomycetes; Verrucariales; Verrucariaceae
Description: 5.8S ribosomal RNA
Rfam family: 5.8S ribosomal RNA
About the family: 5.8S ribosomal RNA (5.8S rRNA) is a component of the large subunit of the eukaryotic ribosome. It is transcribed by RNA polymerase I as part of the 45S precursor that also contains 18S and 28S rRNA. Functionally, it is thought that 5.8S rRNA may be involved in ribosome translocation.
Source: RNAcentral
AAACUUUCAACAACGGAUCUCUUGGCUCUGGCAUCGAUGAAGAACGCAGCGAAAUGCGAUAAGUAAUGCGAAUUGCAGAAUUCCGUGAGUCAUCGAAUCUUUGAACGCACAUUGCGCCCUCCGGUAUUCCGGAGGGCAUGCCUGUCCGAGCGUCAUU